CGCUUCUCCCUUCCCACACGCUGCUGCCCAGUUGGAACACAGGCUUGCGUGCACGCGCGUACACACACACGCACGCACUCUGCGAGGACAAGCUGUGGGUUGCUUCCAUCCAGCUGCAGGCAGACACCUCACAGACCCAGCCGGCCCUUCCUAGAGCUCUUUUCAGCAGAGCCGCCAGCAGGGUGAGCUCUGGGGACUGGGGAGAGGCAAAUGUCACAGGAUGUGAGUGCCACCGCCGCCAAGUGACACCACACAGCCCUGGACGGGCUGAGCUGCCAGCGAUGGAUGGCCAGGCCAGCGAAACCGCUUCUUCCCCUGAGCAGCCGCAGAUUCCAGGUGGUUUCAGGAGGCUUGCACCCCCUCCCCCUUAUGAGCCUGGGGUCCCCCACUUUCUGGCUGGGUGACGCUAGAAGCUCCAGGGGCAUUUCAUGUAGAGGAGAUGGACUCUGAAGUCAGAGACCUGCCAGUCCCACAUCAACCACAAACUUCGCGGACGGCCUCAAGCAAGUCAUUUCCAUCUCCCUCUCCCUCAGUUUCCUGCAACCUUGACAAGACCCAGAAACACUUGAAGUGCCAGACCUCUGGGGCCAGGGGAUCUUCUGAGUGAGAUCUCCUGAGGAAGAGAGCCCCUGGGGAAGAAUAAAGCACUGAUCUUAAAACAGCAAGAGAGAACCUGGUGUUAAUUGAGCAGUUACUCUGUGCCCAGUGCAUUAUAAUGGUUAUCUCACUCAAACCUCACAGAAACCUGGUAACCACUCUGUUAUUAAUCUCAGUUUACAUAUAAAUAAAAAGAUUACAUAAUU
Molecule: long non-coding RNA, 803 nt
Organism: Dama dama (fallow deer)
Lineage: Eukaryota; Metazoa; Chordata; Mammalia; Artiodactyla; Cervidae
Exons: 2
Source: RefSeq, a predicted model, not a curated record